This 1556-nucleotide long non-coding RNA is filed under the name Homo sapiens (human). RNAcentral describes it as "HSALNT0291818". Lineage: Eukaryota; Metazoa; Chordata; Mammalia; Primates; Hominidae. The record is from RNAcentral.
UGAUUGUGUGUGUUUGAUAUAGUCAUGGGAAAUCAGAAUUUAGCCAACUUGAUAUUCUUUUGCAAUACUAUUUGGCCCCAAUCUUGUUUGGAAUCUGGACUUUGCUGCUGAAUGGAAAAGUGGGAUGGAGUUGCAUGGAUCCAGGCUUUUGUGCUGCUGUUCUAAGCAGAGUUGGGCCUGGUUAAUAUGUGAUGUUUUCCUUCGGUGCUGUUUAGCCCCAGUGUUCUUUGGAGUCCGGGGAAGUUUGGCCUUUAAAAAUCAAACUGCCAUGGACACUGCUUUACCCAAAAUUUUGGUUCACAUUCUUCACUGGAUUAACUAUUGGGGCAAACAACGUAUAACCAUGUAAAACCAGUACGCUUGUAUUGGCAUUUCAUGGCUAGAGUUCUAAGUCACAAGCACCUCUUCGGCAAAGCCCACCUCCCUCUCUCGCUUGAUUCCCCGGCCAUCCUUAUCAAAGACCUUCCAGGUGAACAGGCAGCCAUCCUCAGCAGCAGUCAGCAGGAACUGAUCAUCAAAGAAACUUGCAAAAAUAGCACAGAGAGAGUGGACUUCUGGAAUGGCACGGCAACAAAAUUCCCUACGGCAGCACCCAAAGGCUUGAAAUUAGCCAUUCCAAGUGUGUCCAAAAAACUAAAGGAAACCAUGAUUAAACAAGUAAAGGUAGAAAUGAUAUGCAUCAAAUAGAGAAGAAUAAAAGGAUCCCAUCAAUAUAGGGAUAGAACUGUAAGAAAAUAGAAAUUCUAGAGUUAAAAACUACAAUAACUGAAAUGAAAAAUCCACUAGAGGUGCUCAAGAAUAGAUCUGAACUGGCAGAAGAAUUAGUGAACUUUAUAGAUCAAAAAAGAUUAGCAAUUUGAAGAACAGAGAGGAAAAAGAAUUAGAAAUUUACAGAGCCUCAGAAAAAUGUGGGACACCAUUAAGCACACCAACUAAUGCAUAAGGUGAAUGCUAGAAGGAGAGGAGAAAGAGAAAGGAACAGAAAAAACAUUUUCAUAAAUAAUUGCUGAAAAUAUUAUAAAUUUAUUGGGAAACACCAGUGUACACAUAUAGGAAGCUCAAUGAACUCCAAGUAGGAAAAACACAAAGAGUUCCACAAACAGACACAUUUUGGCAAAAAUAAUGAAAGCUAAAGAUGAGAAGAAAAUUUUGAAAGCAUCAAUAGAAAAAUGACUGAUCACUUACAAAAGAGUCCCAAUAAGAUUAAUAGCAGAUAUCUCAGCAACAACAACGGAAGCCAGAAGAGAAUGGGAUAACAUGUUCAAAGUGCUUAAAGAAAAAGCUGUCAAACAAAAAUCCUGCAAAGCUAUCUUUUAGAACUAAAGGUGAAAAAAAAUUACCAAAAAAACUGAAAAAAUAUGUUGCUAGCAGAUAUGACUUACAGAAAAUACUAAAGGAAAUCCUUUAGGUUGAAAGCAAGUUACUCCAGAUAGUAAUUCAAAUCCACACAAAACAAAGAGCACUGGUAAAGCCAGUAGACAAGAUUUGACUCUGGAGGUGACGUCUGAGCCAAUAGGUAUUUGGAGUCUGGAGAAAAAGCCAUGCUAAUAAAUUUC